This 1731-nucleotide unclassified non-coding RNA is filed under the name Harpegnathos saltator (Jerdon's jumping ant). RNAcentral describes it as "integral membrane protein 2C, transcript variant X2". The record is from RNAcentral. Lineage: Eukaryota; Metazoa; Arthropoda; Insecta; Hymenoptera; Formicidae.
AGUGCUUUACGUUUGUUACAUACGCAGUUGAUCGUGGUACUUGGCGGACGUUAGUUUGGUCGUUUGGUUCAUCGUGUCCUCGUUUCCGAAUACUCGUUCUCCUAUAAACGGUUAUCGCGAUUACUCGCGUAUAGUCAGUAUACGAACACCGCUGUAGGUUAAAUAGAUAACGUUGCCAGUUCUCGACAAAUACAGAAAGAGAACCGCAACAAUGACGGUCAUCACGAAAGCGAUCACCGAAAAGAAGGCUGACAAAAUGGAGCAGCCAUUGUUUGUUGAGGAAAAUGCGGCGGAUAGCUCAAAAAUGAUGUGGUCAUAUGAAAUGAUAGUUCAUUAUUUUGUUACUAGAAGAAGCAUCCAACGUAUACAUGUGACAGCAACAUUUUUGCUAUUUCUUGUUGCACUAAUGAUACUGAUUAUUGGUGUGAUCGGUGGUCUCUACAUUUAUAAACAAUAUGCGAGGACUCAGAUGCAUAGAUUCCGUACCGGCUGGUACAGUAUUCCAUAUGAUAGUUCCAACAAAGCAUCUUAUGGCAGGGAUGGAGUUCAUCAGGGACUAUUGGCUGACUCUGAUCUAUUCAAAAGUCUUACCAGAGCCACUGAGCAAGAAGCGUUGGAUAUUGCAAGACACAUAGAUCAUGAUAUUACAAAUUUCUUCAAUGAGAGAUUUGAGAUUGAUCUUGAAAAUGAGCAUUAUGAGAAGAUUGAUGUGCCUGACUUCCGCGGUGGUCGCCAAGGCCGCUUUAUACAUGAUUUUAACAUUAAUAAAACAGGCAUUAUAGAUAUUGACGGUCAAUGCUGUUUUGUCAUGCCAUUGAAUCGUCAGCGUGUAUUGCCACCUCGUAAUAUGUAUGAUCUCCUUAGAAAGAUGUAUGAUGGUUAUUAUGAAGUGGAUACUGCAAUUGUACGUGAGACCAUGAAAGUGGUCACCCCACCGAUCACUGAUCUUUCAGUCGUUGGAACAUACAUAGCACGUGAAUGCCAAAACUUACCUACCUAUAUGCUCAAGAAAGUGGAUUAUACUAUUGUAAAACGCAGCCCAUUGAGUGGGGUAUUUGGGCAGUUUGCCGGCAACAGUAUCAUGGAAGUUGACAUCGUGAAUCUACAAAACUUUGAGUGAAACUAAGAAAUUGUGCGAAGAAAGAAUUUUCAAUUAUUCUAGAAUAUUAACCACCAGUAGAUCAAUGUAUAAAUAUUAUAUGCUGUCGAGCGAACUUAGAUAUAUUCCCACCUUAUUGAGAUCAGCAUUAUGUCUUUCCAUUAUACUUUCCAUUAGCUUUAGAUCGUGAAAUCAUAUAGUAUAAGUAUUUGUUAAUAACCAGAGUCGUUUGAUGUAUCAAGGGAGUUCUUUGCAAUAUCAUAUAUAAAAGAUUAAACGUGAAUAACUAAGUCACUGAACCGAUAUGAGAAAUGGAAGACAUUCAUUUCAUAUUAAAAUAGAAUUAUCUAGACUGUUUGCAAAUUGAUUCUUAGAUGAAAGCAUUAAAUAUUUCUUCCAUAUUCUUCAAAUGCGUUAUUUAGACAGUUAAAAAUGUGAUGUUAGUUACACUAUAGUAAUAAAAUAUUUAUUACUAUUAUGGAUUUUGAUGCAGCUUGUUGACUGCAUUACGAAUAACAUCUGUGUGAGUAAUCAAUGAAGCAAAUAGAAUAGCUGCGUUAGGUCAUCAACGCUUACAAUAUGGUUUCUUAUGUUAUCAAUGAGAUUGUAAAAAUAUAUUCAUUUACAAAUUA